AAUUCGGGACCUUCACACUAGAAAUGGCAGCACGAACCAAAAGGGUCAUAAACAUGUAUGAUGAGGAUGUUACACACUGGACAGAGGAUAGAAAAAAAGCCCUCAGAGAUCAAAGGCUGGAUGACAAUCCAGAUGUUCUUUUCAAAUUGUUUGAUCCACCUUAUCCAAGCGAUCUGGGCAAUCUGUGCGGUCUGAUCUUUAGACCCACUUCAGAUCCAGUUCUGUGGAUGAGAUUAAUCAUAAAUGGUUACAAAAGCCUCUCUCCUCAGUGGACUCACAGACGAGUUACAGAGCCAGCUCGAGAUGUGAUCAAUAUCAAGGGCAAUGCAGGAGAAAUGCGCACAUUUAUUAGAAACUUUCCAAAUGAUCUGCAAAAGAAUGCUGUGGAUCUGAAUGCGGUGAUGAAAAAACUUGAAUUAACAUAAGACAACGAAGAUAAUGAAGGGGGUGCCAAAACAUGAGACGCCAUGGUUUUAUAAGACGGGAUCUCAUGAAGGCAUGGAGAUUUGCAACCAAACCAGAUCUGGAUCAAGCUUUUCUUGUAUUUCUCUUCUCUGUUACAAAUGUCACACCUCAUUUUCCGGGUGAACUCCAAGCUCAGUGUCUGUAUAAACACAAAACGUAUUAAAGUUUUGAUCACGAAA
Molecule: long non-coding RNA, 644 nt
Organism: Puntigrus tetrazona (Sumatra barb)
Lineage: Eukaryota; Metazoa; Chordata; Actinopteri; Cypriniformes; Cyprinidae
Exons: 2
Source: RefSeq, a predicted model, not a curated record